Molecule: transfer RNA, 69 nt
Filed under: Thienemanniella majuscula
Lineage: Eukaryota; Metazoa; Arthropoda; Insecta; Diptera; Chironomidae
Description: tRNA-Met
Source: RNAcentral
AAAAAGAUAAGCUAAUAAAAGCUAUUAGGUUCAUACCCUACUUAUAAAGGUCAACUCCUUUUCUUUUUA